GAGUUUGAUCGUGGCUCAGGAUGAACGCUGGCGGCGUGCUUAACACAUGCAAGUCGAACGAAGCGCCUUAUUUGAUUUUCUUCGGAACUGAAGAUUUGGUGACUGAGUGGCGGACGGGUGAGUAACGCGUGGGUAACCUGCCCUGUACAGGGGGAUAACAAUCAGAAAUGACUGCUAAUACCGCAUAAGACCACAGCACCGCAUGGUGCAGGGGUAAAAACUCCGGUGGUACAGGAUGGACCCGCGUCUGAUUAGCUGGUUGGUGAGGUAACGGCUCACCAAGGCGACGAUCAGUAGCCGGCUUGAGAGAGUGAACGGCCACAUUGGGACCGAGACACGGCCCAAACUCCUACGGGAGGCAGCAGUGGGGAUAUUGCACAAUGGGGGAAACCCUGAUGCAGCAACGCCGCGUGAGUGAAGAAGUAUUUCGGUAUGUAAAGCUCUAUCAGCAGGGAAGAAAGUGACGGUACCUGACUAAGAAGCCCCGGCUAACUACGUGCCAGCCG
RNAcentral lists this ribosomal RNA (506 nucleotides) under uncultured microorganism. Its description in RNAcentral is "bacterial SSU rRNA". It matches the Rfam family "Bacterial small subunit ribosomal RNA", at positions 9 to 514 of the family's 1533-position model. The record is from RNAcentral.